RNAcentral lists this unclassified non-coding RNA (2251 nucleotides) under Monomorium pharaonis (pharaoh ant). Its description in RNAcentral is "centaurin-gamma-1A, transcript variant X3". Lineage: Eukaryota; Metazoa; Arthropoda; Insecta; Hymenoptera; Formicidae. The record is from RNAcentral.
GAGCAGCUUCUAUAAUAAGAACUCUCCGUGCGUUCCCCUCCUCCACGAUCGUGAGACUUGUCACCUAACCAAUAUUGUCGCUCGACUUUGACUGAUAAUGUUUAUAAAUACUGGGAUUUGACAUAUGUUACGUGAGCCAGCGGCAAGUCUGUGUUGGAGCCACGCGAGAUCUACCUGCCUCCGGUGACGCGCGCGCGAUGCACCUCGGAGCUAUGCCGUAAAUGUGAUAGAUCGUCGCCAAAGAGAAUUGGACGUUGAAGAAAGAGAGAGAAAGAGAAGGAAAAAAUGACAACUGGUCAGAGUGGACACGAUCAUUCUCUCGCUAUCAGACAAGAAAUACAGCGUUUCGAAAGCGUUCACCCUUCGAUAUACGCCAUUUACGAUCUGAUUGAGCUUGUGCCCGACGCGCACAUCGCCAAACAAAUUCGCGAGCAUGUUGUGGCGAUAGAAGAUUCCUUCGUUAACAGCCAUGAAUGGACAUUGGCGAGAAAUGUUCCCGAAUUACAUCUAGGGAUCAUUGGUUCCUCGGAUUCGGGGAAGUCGGCCCUCGUUCACAGAUAUCUCACUGGUUCGUUCAUGCAUGAGGAAUCACCAGAGGGUGGUCGCUUUAAAAAAGAAAUUUUCAUAAAUGAUCAGAGUUAUCUUCUCUUGAUUAGAGACGAGGGUGGAGUGCCAGAGACUCAAUUUUCAGCUUGGAUAGAUGCUUUACUACUUGUAUUCAGCUUAGAAAAUGAAGAGAGUUUUUCUGUGGUUUGCAGUUUUUACAAUAGAAUGUGUUCUUUCCGGAAUAUGUCAGAAGUACCAAAAAUACUUGUAGGUGUACAGGAUUCAAUUAACGACAGCAAUCCUCGUGUUAUAAAAGAUGUCAGACCACGAAAACUGGCUUGUGAUUUAAGAUGCCCUUAUUAUGAAACAUGUGCUAUUUAUGGUCUAAAUGUUGAGAGAGUAUUUCAAGAUGUGUGUCAGAAAAUCAUACAGAACGUAUCAGCAAAGAAUUUUUCAUGCGACGUGUGCCAACAUGCUCCAGAAAAUGAAGUUAAGUUUGCAGUCCCUGCUAUUACUAAAAAUAUGCAAAUACAUAACAAAGAUACAGAGACCACAAAUUCAUUGAAAGUAUUGGAAAAAGAUGGAAAUGAGGAUUGUCAAUCCAUUCAUAAUAGUUCAAAUGAUUCCUCAUUGCUGAACGAUAAUUUUCAUAACGUGCAGAAUCAACAUGGAGAACUGCGUUCGUCAAUUUUAACGCCAACAACAAUCAGAAAAUUUAGAAGAAAAUCGAAUAUAUUCACACCUUCUAAGAAGGAGAAGUAUAUGGGCGAAAUGGGUGUUGGUCGAGAAAUACCAGUGAAACAAGGUUAUUUGUUCAAACGAAGCAGCAAGUCGUUGAAAGAGUGGAAGAAGAAAUAUGUCACGUUAUUAGAGGAUGGUCGUUUGACAUAUCAUUCGAGUCUACAUGAUUAUAUGAAUGAUACUAAUGGGAAAGAAAUACUUUUGCAAUACGUUACUGUGAAGGUACCUGGUAAAACGCCAAAAGGUUCUAAAUCGUACAAUGCCCAAGAAGACAGUUUCGAAUUUUCUAUCAUCUCCCUGGAAAACAAAACUUGGCACUUCGAGGCAAACAAUGCCGAGGAAAGGGACAGUUGGAUUACCGCAAUAGAACAGCAAAUACUAUCGAGCUUGCAAAAUAGCGAUGGCGACAAGAAAAAUGAAACUGAUGCCUUCAAGAUGCAUUGCAUAAAGAACAAAGUUUCAGGGAAUGACGCAUGUGUUGACUGUGGUGCGCCGAAUCCUGAUUGGGCCAGCCUUAAUUUAGGCGUUUUAAUGUGCAUUGAAUGCUCCGGAAUUCACAGAAACUUAGGUUCGCACAUAUCUAAGGUACGGUCUUUGGAUUUGGACGACUGGUCGUCACCUAAGCGUUAUGCUAGCCCUCGGCAACGACAUAGCCAACAGUAUUUGGGAGUAUUGUUUAAAUGGAAAACAAAAACCUGUCUCGGAUUCAUCGAGGGAAGAGAAGGAGCAAUGGAUUAGAUGGAAGUACGAGGAAAAACUGUUCUUGCCGCCGAUUAAUCCUAAUAUCUCUUUAGGAAAAUUGCUCAUCGAUUCGGUUUGCCGGGGAGACAUGAGAGCGUUUACAUUAUGUUUGGCGCGUUGUAACUACGAGGACAUCAAUGUUUCGGUCAGUACGGAGGAUCUGCGAACGCCGUUGCAUUUGGCUUGCGCAACCGGCAAUUUAGCAAUGGCACAACUUUUAAUA